Molecule: small nucleolar RNA, 107 nt
Organism: Ipomoea nil (Japanese morning glory)
Lineage: Eukaryota; Viridiplantae; Streptophyta; Magnoliopsida; Solanales; Convolvulaceae
Rfam family: Plant small nucleolar RNA R71
About the family: R71 is a member of the C/D box family of snoRNAs containing the C (UGAUGA) and D (CUGA) box motifs. Multiple nearly identical copies of this snoRNA have been identified in Arabidopsis, and it is thought to function as a 2'-O-ribose methylation guide for 18S ribosomal RNA.
Source: Rfam
AAUCCAUGGUGUGGACAUUGCCUCUUCAAUUCCUUAAAUCUCUCCCAAGACUCAGUGAGGGACUCAGUUGCCAGUUGCUUAAAGUUUUGAAUUGCCCUUCUCAUACU